AGAUUAGAAACAGACGGGCAAGUUCAAGGACCUAGUGAAGGGGCGGGUUAUCAAGGUGUGUUGAGGAGGGGGUGAAAGGAGGUUGUCGAAGGAUAGGAAGCAGCACAGGACUGGAAAGAGGGAAGCUGGGACCACCCGUAGGCCCAAACAGAAAUGAGGCUUUCAGAAGAGAAGGAGGCUCCCGCCCAUCGCCAGCGUCCAGGAGGAGACAGUGGGUAGGCACACCCCGCUCUCCUCCCACGCUCUGCUCUGUCCCAGUCUCCUGUUGGGCAAAUCCAACUGAAAGGCAGAGAGUCCGUGGGGUGGGGUAGGUCAGCGCCCAAAGCAUGGGGCAGGUGGAAAAGAGAGGAGAUUGGAUGAGGCGGGGCUAGCAGGAGAGGCCUCACAUAGGGGCAAGCCAGAAAGACAGCGCCACAUCUGAAAAGAUGCCCGUGUGUGUCCACAAAUUCUAAAGGUGACAUAUUUUAGUAUCCUCGCUGUCCUAAUCUCAGUGGAAGUGUACGAGUAUAAAAUGAAAUAAAAACAUUAUAUGCGUAGAUGUAUAGUGUGAAUAUAUAUCAGUGUAUGCUUAUACUUGUGCAUACCCAUGCAUAUGAUGUAAAAAUAUAUAUAGCGGCAAGCAGAUCUGUAGGUAUGAUCUUAAAUUUGGAAAUCAAUCAAUCAAUACAUUUAUGUGGAGAGUUUUGAAAAUCACGAUCUGGCAAUCCACGCACCACGGGGCUCGCGGUGAUGAUUCCUGGGUCAUGAGACGAUGGCGGCUUCCUGCCCUCCCUCCUCUCGUUACACUUUCGAUCUUCUGAAUAUUUUGCAAUGAGUAUGUACGGCUCUCACAAUGAGAGAAACAGCUAUUUAGCAAUAAAUAAAUAAAUAAAAUAAAUAAAUAAUGUUGCAAGGACAAGCAGCGUUUACGAGAAUGACAGCGUAACGUGCACUGGUGCCUAAUGGAACAACAUGAGGUGGGAAACGCAGUCCGGUGCCCGCUGUGAGUGUCUGUUUGGUGUGAUGAUGAGUGAGGAUGUGUGUGAGGGGAAGCAGCCCCACCUGGGAUGGAUCAGAGGAGUUGGACUUCGAUGGG
Molecule: long non-coding RNA, 1075 nt
Filed under: Homo sapiens (human)
Lineage: Eukaryota; Metazoa; Chordata; Mammalia; Primates; Hominidae
Description: HSALNT0387710
Source: RNAcentral